GGACUAAGGAAUGACGAGCACUACAGAGUGAUGGUGCUAUUUACUCACGCGGAAACUACCAGGUCAGUCAUCGUGAUCGAUACGUGAGAAUGGCAGGAGUGGUGCAUGGCCGUUGGAAAUUGAUGGGGCGACCUUUAGCUUAAAUGCUUAAACCAGUGAGACCUCCUUGACAGGUGUUCUGUAACACAGGAGGGUGGAGGCUAUAACAGGUCCGUGAUGCCCUUAGAUAUCCUGGGCAGCAAGCGCAAUACAAUAUCUCUUCAGUAGACAAAGUGAUUUGAGAUGAGUAGGAUCUACGUUUGUAAAUACGUAGUGAAUAAGGAAUUCCUAGUAACGGUGCCUCAUCAAGGCAUGGUGAAUGUGUCCCUGUUCUUUGUACACACCGCCCGUCACUAUUUCAGAUGGUCAUAGGGAUGAAGAGCUUCGGCUCUGAAUAUCUAUGGCUAGAUAAAGUACAAGUCGUAACAAGGUUUCAGUUGGAGAACCAGCUGAAGGAUCAUUU
Enterocytozoon bieneusi H348 is the source of this 502-nucleotide ribosomal RNA. It matches the Rfam family "Microsporidia small subunit ribosomal RNA", at positions 775 to 1311 of the family's 1311-position model. The record is from Rfam. Lineage: Eukaryota; Fungi; Microsporidia; Enterocytozoonidae.